UACAGAGGGUGCGAGCGUUAAUCGGAAUUACUGGGCGUAAAGCGUGCGUAGGCGGUUAUUUAAGUCGGAUGUGAAAGCCCCGGGCUCAACCUGGGAAUUGCAUUCGAGACUGAAUAGCUAGGGUGCGGUAGAGGGAAGCGGAAUUUCCGGUGUAGCGGUGAAAUGCGUAGAUAUCGGAAGGAACAUCAGUGGCGAAGGCGGCUUCCUGGACCAGCACCGACGUUCAGGCACGAAAGCGUGGGGAGCAAACAGG
This 253-nucleotide ribosomal RNA is filed under the name uncultured bacterium. Its description in RNAcentral is "partial 16S ribosomal RNA". It matches the Rfam family "Bacterial small subunit ribosomal RNA", at positions 524 to 776 of the family's 1533-position model. The record is from RNAcentral.